Molecule: non-coding RNA, 135 nt
Organism: Triticum aestivum (bread wheat)
Lineage: Eukaryota; Viridiplantae; Streptophyta; Magnoliopsida; Poales; Poaceae
Source: Rfam
CACGUACUCCCUCCGUCCGAAAAUACUUGUCAUCAAAAUGGAUAAAAGGAGAUGCGUCUAGACGUAUUUUAGUUCUAAAUACAUCCUUUUUUAUCCAUUUUGAUGACAAAUAUUUUGAGACGGAGGAAGUACUAG